This 237-nucleotide unclassified non-coding RNA is filed under the name plant metagenome. Its description in RNAcentral is "partial contains small subunit ribosomal RNA and internal transcribed spacer 1". The stretch from base 1 to 46 matches the Rfam family "Eukaryotic small subunit ribosomal RNA", at positions 1786 to 1831 of the family's 1831-position model. The record is from RNAcentral.
AAGUCGUAACAAGGUUUCCGUAGGUGAACCUGCGGAAGGAUCAUUACAGAGAGGGGCUUCGUGCUCCAGGAGGCUUCGGCCUCCGACUCUUCACCCUGUGAUUAUUUACCAUUUGUUGCUUUGGCGGGCCCCGGGGUCUUCCGAUCCCGGCCGGUCCUGCCGGUUGCGCCCGCCAAUGGCCUAUUUAAAAUUCUUUUUAUUCAGUCGUCCGAGUCAUACCAAACAAAUAAAUUAAAA